This 76-nucleotide transfer RNA is filed under the name Caudoviricetes sp. RNAcentral's name for it is "tRNA-Thr". It matches the Rfam family "tRNA". Rfam says of the family: Transfer RNA (tRNA) molecules are approximately 80 nucleotides in length. Lineage: Duplodnaviria; Heunggongvirae; Uroviricota; Caudoviricetes. The record is from RNAcentral.
GCUAGUGUAGCUCAGUUGGCAGAGCGUCGGAUUUGUACCCCGAAGGCCGCCGGAUCGUUGCCGGCCACUAGCUCCA